AAUGAAGUAAAGAACAAUAAAAAUUUGUUUAAUGAAUUGGAAUGAAAGAACAGAAGAGGGUUUGCAGCUUUGAUUUUGUAGAACUUUGACUGAAAAACUCCUCCUUGAUACUGAUAUUCUUCUCCUCAAGACGGCUGGAGAGAUUCAGAAUGCGAGUCUCUUUAAAACUCCUAAAAAAGGUGCUGUCAAAGGAUCCUCUCUCUCUUUGGAUGUUUUCUCUUUCUAUUUAUAAUAACUGCUCUAGGGUUAGGUCAUUUUGA
RNAcentral lists this unclassified non-coding RNA (260 nucleotides) under Hevea brasiliensis (rubber tree). Lineage: Eukaryota; Viridiplantae; Streptophyta; Magnoliopsida; Malpighiales; Euphorbiaceae. The record is from RNAcentral.